AAACGAUAAUGGCAAACCUGUUGAAAAGCAGGGACGCAAAGCUAUGGGUCUAAGGUUCUGAUGUCAGCCGCGGAGGCUUGACGGGGGACUAUGACAGCCGGUUGCCGAA
RNAcentral lists this non-coding RNA (109 nucleotides) under Sporobacter termitidis. RNAcentral's name for it is "c-di-GMP sequence". It matches the Rfam family "c-di-GMP-I riboswitch aptamer". From Rfam's summary of the family: GEMM was predicted in a large-scale screen for bacterial structured RNA regulatory elements. Lineage: Bacteria; Bacillati; Bacillota; Clostridia; Eubacteriales; Oscillospiraceae. RNAcentral also lists the same sequence under 1 other name. The record is from RNAcentral.